UGUUGGUAUCGUUAGUGGCGGACGGGGUGAGUAACGCGUGGGUAACCUGCCUUACACUGGGGGAUAACACUUAGAAAUAGGUGCUAAUACCGCAUAACAGGGAAAGAUGCAUGUCUUUUCCUUAAAAACUCCGGUGGUGUAAGAUGGACCCGCGUCUGAUUAGCUUGUUGGCGGGGUAACGGCCCACCAAGGCGACGAUCAGUAGCCGGCCUGAGAGGGUGAACGGCCACAUUGGGACUGAGACACGGCCCAAACUCCUACGGGAGGCAGCAG
RNAcentral lists this ribosomal RNA (273 nucleotides) under uncultured bacterium. Its description in RNAcentral is "partial 16S ribosomal RNA". It matches the Rfam family "Bacterial small subunit ribosomal RNA", at positions 81 to 354 of the family's 1533-position model. The record is from RNAcentral.